RNAcentral lists this ribosomal RNA (653 nucleotides) under Bacillus pumilus. Its description in RNAcentral is "bacterial SSU rRNA". It matches the Rfam family "Bacterial small subunit ribosomal RNA", at positions 65 to 702 of the family's 1533-position model. Lineage: Bacteria; Bacillati; Bacillota; Bacilli; Caryophanales; Bacillaceae. The record is from RNAcentral.
AGCGGACAGAAGGGAGCUUGCUCCCGGAUGUUAGCGGCGGACGGGUGAGUAACACGUGGGUAACCUGCCUGUAAGACUGGGAUAACUCCGGGAAACCGGAGCUAAUACCGGAUAGUUCCUUGAACCGCAUGGUUCAAGGAUGAAAGACGGUUUCGGCUGUCACUUACAGAUGGACCCGCGGCGCAUUAGCUAGUUGGUGAGGUAACGGCUCACCAAGGCGACGAUGCGUAGCCGACCUGAGAGGGUGAUCGGCCACACUGGGACUGAGACACGGCCCAGACUCCUACGGGAGGCAGCAGUAGGGAAUCUUCCGCAAUGGACGAAAGUCUGACGGAGCAACGCCGCGUGAGUGAUGAAGGUUUUCGGAUCGUAAAGCUCUGUUGUUAGGGAAGAACAAGUGCAAGAGUAACUGCUUGCACCUUGACGGUACCUAACCAGAAAGCCACGGCUAACUACGUGCCAGCAGCCGCGGUAAUACGUAGGUGGCAAGCGUUGUCCGGAAUUAUUGGGCGUAAAGGGCUCGCAGGCGGUUUCUUAAGUCUGAUGUGAAAGCCCCCGGCUCACCCGGGGAGGGUCAUUGAAAACUGGGAAACUUGAGUGCAGAAGAGGAGAGUGAAUUCCACGUGUAGCGGUGAAAUGCGUAGAGAUGUGGA